This 606-nucleotide long non-coding RNA is filed under the name Homo sapiens (human). Its description in RNAcentral is "HSALNT0225556". The record is from RNAcentral. Lineage: Eukaryota; Metazoa; Chordata; Mammalia; Primates; Hominidae.
GCAACGCGCUAGGGUCACUUUUGAGAUCAAGAAAGCUUUGUUCUUUUGCUGUUUAUAAUAAAACCUGUUGCUGCUCGCUCUUUUGGGUUCUGACUGCGUUUAUGAGCUGUAACACUUACCACAAAGGUGUGUAGGUUCACUCCUGAAGCCUGUGAGACCACGAAUCCACCGGGAGGAACGAACAACUCCAGAUGUGGUGCCUUAAGAGCUAUAACACUCACUGUGAAGGUCUGCAGCUUUGCUCCUGAGCUAGCUAGACCACGAACCCACCAGCAGGAAAAAACUCCGAACACAUUUGAGCAUCAGAAGGAACAAACUCUGGACACGCCGCCUUUAAGAACUGUGAUAUUCACUGCGACAGUCCGCGGCUUCAUUCUUGAAGUCAGACCAAGAACCCACCAAUUCCGGACAUAGGAAUACUAGCAGGGACUUUCUGGACAUUCGGCUCGGAGUUGGUUAGUUGUUCAGGAUGGUUCAAAGGUGUAAACUGUGAUCCUCUUCCUUGAGUGAGAUGGAAAAAAAUUAAUUUGCCGCAUCAGUGUCCAUAUCUCAGACCCUGGAGAGAUCAUAAAAGCAUGCAAAAACUUUAGCAGAAUUGACGUGUGG